CUCCUCCACUUUAAUACAGUUACUUAGUAUAUACCAUCGAUUUUGGUCUGGUACAGUAUUGAUUUAUUAUACCGCCUUAAGGAUGUUUGCUCCUCCAUAUUUUGAUUUUUUGCCAGAUUUUCGGAAUCCUCUGGUUUUAUCCUUGUAUUGUCAUUAAAAAAAUUUGCCCACUAACCCUUACUUUUCUUUUUUUUUCGAUUUUGGUCUGGUACAGUAUUGAUUUAUUAUACCGCCUUAUUAAUCUGAUUUGGUCAUGUAGAUAUAACCUUGUGACCUGCUCAAUUCUCAUUCGCCGACAGAACUGUUCAAUAUUUGCAUGGUUAUUUCUUCAAAAGUGAUUUUGAUAUAGUAGAAAUGAAAUGUAAGAAACUUAAAUGUUUAUAACAUAUUAAAUCAUUUUAAUUCAGUGGUACUG
RNAcentral lists this long non-coding RNA (415 nucleotides) under Mytilus galloprovincialis (Mediterranean mussel). The record is from RNAcentral. Lineage: Eukaryota; Metazoa; Mollusca; Bivalvia; Mytilida; Mytilidae.